This 422-nucleotide ribosomal RNA is filed under the name Stenotrophomonas sp. WMA-LM19. Its description in RNAcentral is "bacterial SSU rRNA". It matches the Rfam family "Bacterial small subunit ribosomal RNA", at positions 145 to 558 of the family's 1533-position model. The record is from RNAcentral. Lineage: Bacteria; Pseudomonadati; Pseudomonadota; Gammaproteobacteria; Lysobacterales; Lysobacteraceae.
AACGUAGGGAAACUUACGCUAAUACCGCAUACGACCUACGGGUGAAAGCAGGGGACCUUCGGGCCUUGCGCGAUUGAAUGAGCCGAUGUCGGAUUAGCUAGUUGGCGGGGUAAAGGCCCACCAAGGCGACGAUCCGUAGCUGGUCUGAGAGGAUGAUCAGCCACACUGGAACUGAGACACGGUCCAGACUCCUACGGGAGGCAGCAGUGGGGAAUAUUGGACAAUGGGCGCAAGCCUGAUCCAGCCAUACCGCGUGGGUGAAGAAGGCCUUCGGGUUGUAAAGCCCUUUUGUUGGGAAAGAAAUCCAGCUGGCUAAUACCCGGUUGGGAUGACGGUACCCAAAGAAUAAGCACCGGCUAACUUCGUGCCAGCAGCCGCCGGUAAUACCGAAGGGUGCAAGCGGUUACUCGGGAAUUACUGGG